This is a long non-coding RNA of Hemicordylus capensis (graceful crag lizard), 1630 nucleotides long. RefSeq lists it as uncharacterized. The transcript is spliced from 4 exons. NCBI's taxonomy places the organism in Eukaryota, Metazoa, Chordata, Lepidosauria, Squamata, Cordylidae. The record is from RefSeq and is a predicted model, not a curated record.
UUUGCUGAUAAAAGCCUUUUCAUUCAGUGCUCUUUGGAAGGAGCCAAUUGUGAUGGUAAAGCAACUUUCCUCAGCAGCUUUUUCUCUUUAGGAGUGGGUAUGUCUGAGGGCUAGGAAAAAAGCCUCCUCCAAAGGGCCUUCUCCAAAAUUAGAUCAAUAACAACACUCUCCUGGUGUUUUUUUUAAAAAAGGCCCUGAGGUCUUUGGAAAUAUCUGAGCGCUGUUUGGUGGAUGCUUCCUUCACCAUUUCCCAUCUUCUGAGAAUUGUCUAGUCCUCAAAGCACUGCACAGUGAGAACUAUGAUUCUGGAACUCAGAUUUCAGCAGCAGCAAUGUUCUAUCAUGGAAGCUCUAAAAUGAUUCAUUGUUCAGGACUAUUGCUGUGGGUGCAAUUCAUUGACACAAUCCAGCCAAAGCUUUGAAGUCCUGUGGAUUUCAAUAGGAAAAGUAAAUGUAUAUCUUCCACUAAAAUCAGCUGGAUGCCUAGUUUUAGCUGAAUCUCGCCUUGGGCGUUCUGGACUAAAAUGUUAGACUGAUUAUGCAAGACAUUAGACUGCUUAUACAACAAGAUUAUCCAUAUCAAAGAAAAACAGUAGAAGAUAGAUUCACCCAAUAUUGAUCCAAUAAAGAGCAAAAAAAAAGAAAAAAAGAAUGGACAUUUCUCCAGGAAGCCUUGCCUGCUGUUUCUGUCACAAACUGAACGAGAAAGAAAAGGAACUUCUGUUUAGGAACUCCAUCAACCUAUGUCAUAGAAUGACUGGAAUCCAAAAGGACCACACACCUAUCUUCAUUUUCUAUGCUCCCAAUGUGACUUCUGAGACCUCAUAGCAAUAGCCUCCUUUACAAGAUGAAGAAGGUAUGGCUGAAACUUGGGACGGUUUUAUGAAAAUUCAUCAUUGUAGCACAAGAAUCUGCUGCUGUGGGGAAAAGCUUAUCCAAAGCAAGAAGUUUAUACAUAAAUCUAAGUGGGUUCUGUGGAGCUGGAAUUGUGUUUCUAAUUCUUAGGGCUGGUUUGGAUCAUGGUAACUUGGGAAGCAACCUACAUCCAGUGGGGUCUUUGGUACACAUCAGACUGGUACUUCAUAUGGUGAGUCAUGAGAGACUCCAGCAUUGUUAAUUUGUUUGUUACAGAAUACACAGAACCCUGAGCACAGAGAUUCUGAAGCAAAGCCUUGAUCUACUUUCCACAGAACCAUCAACUCCAAAAAUACAGUGGAGGUUCCAAGGCCUUUGGUCCCAAGAUAGUGCUGAAGUUCCAGAGUUUUUGAAACUGUGCCCCUGACAGUGGCUGACUUCCUUCAGGGAGUGUCCAACUUUCUAUGAGGGUGGAUUAUUCUUCUGCUAUUUAUAAUGCUGCAAUAUGUUUAAGAGUAACACAAGUGGCAACCCAAGACUCUAAUUUCAGAAUCAGUCAUUUGAAUGUAUUCGUGUGGCCACCUGAAUGAAGGUUGACAGCCCAUAACUUGCAUUGAGAAGGGCAAGUGGACAGUUGACACUGCUGGAGAGAGGCUUCUGAAAUGCCGUCUGAGGAAAUUGACAUUGGAUCCUAUUCCACAUAGCAUUCUGGCUCAUCAGCCACCGGGGGGUUGAAAAAUCUGAACAUAAACAACAGGCAAUGUCAUCUUGCCAAC